This 804-nucleotide long non-coding RNA is filed under the name Pan troglodytes (chimpanzee). Its description in RNAcentral is "lincRNA". Lineage: Eukaryota; Metazoa; Chordata; Mammalia; Primates; Hominidae. The record is from RNAcentral.
GGAGUCAGUCCAGAAGCCUUCAGAUAACACCAGGGUGUAGUCCUGGCGAGAAAUCUUCAGUUGCUUCAGGACCUUUUCUAGCCCCACACGACGGCUAGGUCCUCCGUGAGAGAAAACUGGUUCGAGAAGCAUGGCCAACAUUCCCAAUGAUCCGCAGAUGUGGUUUCCACCUGGCCGGUGCCAUGACACCCGCACACAUGGCGACAAGGAGAAGGGAGAAGAAAACCUAUUUGUUGUAUAUACCUGGCUUUUGGCACAGCUGCCGGGAUUCACCUGUGCAAGUUUCCAGCUUGCUUAUCUAUGCUUGCAGCUUGAUUUUUCAGGCUACUUUCUGUUAGAAAAGAAAUGAUUUGGGGGCUGCUUUCUAUUAAAAGAAAAACCUUACCAAGGACUCCUGUACCCUCACUAUCUGCCUAAAUAAUUUCUUAACGCCUAUAUUAUUCCCUUUAAAUAAAAUUUUUUGUGGUGUUUGUCUUAUUGUUAUUAGGUUAUGAGAAUUCAUUAUAUAUUCAAGAAAUAUAUAAUUCAUUAUAUAAAAAUAGUUUUAUAAAUUAAAUAUAAAUAUAUAAAUAUAUAAUUUAUUACAUAGGAAAUAUAUUCAGUCCUUUUUGGGAAAUAUUUUCUCUCAGUCUAUAGUUUGUCCUUUCUUAUACUUAACAGUAUGUUUUUUAGAGCAGAAGGUUUUACUUUAAAAAAUUAUUAAUAUUAUUUUGACUGAUAUCUUUGACUAGAACAUUACUGGUGUAUAGAAAUGGCGCUGAUAUCUGUACAUUAAUUUUGUAUCCUUAAACUUUAACUGAAUUC